Molecule: ribosomal RNA, 468 nt
Filed under: uncultured bacterium
Lineage: Bacteria
Description: partial 16S ribosomal RNA
Rfam family: Bacterial small subunit ribosomal RNA
Source: RNAcentral
GAUGAACGCUGGCGGCGUGCUUAACACAUGCAAGUCGAACGGUGAAGGCGGAGCUUGCUCUGCUGGAUCAGUGGCGAACGGGUGAGUAACACGUGAGCAAUCUGCCCCUGACUCUGGGAUAAGCGCUGGAAACGGCGUCUAAUACUGGAUACGAGCUGCGAAGGCAUCUUCAGCAGCUGGAAAGAAUUUCGGUCAGGGAUGAGCUCGCGGCCUAUCAGCUUGUUGGUGAGGUAAUGGCUCACCAAGGCGUCGACGGGUAGCCGGCCUGAGAGGGUGACCGGCCACACUGGGACUGAGACACGGCCCAGACUCCUACGGGAGGCAGCAGUGGGGAAUAUCGCACAAUGGGCGAAAGCCUGAUGCAGCAACGCCGCGUGAGGGACGACGGCCUUCGGGUUGUAAACCUCUUUUAGCAGGGAAGAAGCGAAAGUGACGGUACCUGCAGAAAAAGCGCCGGCUAACUACGUG